UUUUUUUUUUUUUUUUUUUUUUUUUCCAAAUGGCGUGAUGUUA
This 43-nucleotide non-coding RNA is filed under the name Prorocentrum micans. Lineage: Eukaryota; Dinophyceae; Prorocentrales; Prorocentraceae. The record is from RNAcentral.